UGCAGUUAAAUUUGCGAAGAGCUUUGAAGACGACGACCGCAUAAGAGGCCACGUACUUCACUGAAUGCGUAGAGGGCACACUUUUUUGUGUGUUACAGCUUCACCACCACAUAUUCAUGGAGACUAGAGGUCAAUUUGUCAAGAUUUAUCAGGUUAUCCGGAGUAAGGAAGGUCCAAAGAUGCUCAAAGUGGCCAGAAUUGCCCUCCACAGGCUGCUCCACACACAGGCGAGGUACCAGCCAGCUGCUUCCCAGAGCAUCAGCUUCCAAAGUGAGCUGCACCCUGGACUCAAAACAACUUCUUUUGAAAUCAAGGAGUCUAAAGUAGAAGAAAACGGCUGUAUUUUAAGGUGGAGAAAUCCUGUCUCCAGGCUGGGCAGCCCCUUCUCUUUCACAGAGAACUCAGCAAGGAGCUGGCAAGCUGGUUUGCUGGACAAAAAAAAAAAAAAAAAAAAUUUGUGAGCUCAUAACUUCUCACCAAGUAACAGGACAACAUUGAUACCACUGACUCACUCUGGGUAAGUCAGGUCUGCAACUGGAUUAAGGGAGAAGGGAGUGUUUCCAUCCGUUUUGGCUCCAUACUACCCCUCCUGCUGAAACAGCCUCCCGACUGUGAAGGAACUGCUUUGUGCUCCGCUCUGCCUUUUACUCCUGCUAGAUGGACCCCUACUGCAUUUUAAAGAGGAAAUCAGAUAGAGAAGGCGCUGAGGUGCUUCGGGGCCAUCUGUCUGGAGGGGGGCUUGCAUCCACCCCUCCUUGCUCCGUUCCCCCUCCUCCAGGGCAGAAAGCCAGAAGACGGGACAGGCCGGAGGCAACGACACCCCCCAGCUCCCCAUCCCCACCAGCGGGGAAGCAGCCGAGAGCUGGGUUGCCGCAAGUGCGUACAUUUAAUCCGGCCUGCACAUUUGGCAGGCAGCAGGACAAGAGCGCUCCUGCGUGCGGAGGCACUGGCUUUGCCUGGCUCUGGAAAGCCAUAAUCUUCCGUCUGAGAGGCUGCGGCAGGGGAAAACCACUCCAACAAGCUGUCACAAUUGCUCCUUUUCCUACAAUAAGCAGGAUGCAUACAGAAAUUCAGGGCAGAUACCCCAUGACUGCUCCAGUCCUGUGGCAGAGGUGAUUUUUUUGGAACCCAAGGACUCCCCAAACCUCUGUAAAUGCUCCUACAACUGAGAUACAGAAGAAAAGGAGGUGCUAGCACAUCCUCUUCUGGAUGUGCUUUCUGAAGGAGCCCAGGUGAUUAGGAACUGGAUAAAGCCUUGCAGUAAAGGUGGGCAGAGAAGAUAUGAGCCAGAGCUUAACCACAGAAGACUGGCAGGGAUGGCUGGCACCAGCUGCGCUGAGACAACCUGAGCAGCCUCAGAAGCAGAGCCAGAGGCCCAGCAGGAACUGUGGUAUCUAAACCCCAGGGCCUCCAGAUACCAGGUGCCAGCUGAACACAGGACACCUGAAAACUAAAUGCUAAACACCUGCAUGUCUAAAGGGUCAGCAGGAUCACGGAUUUUGCCCAAGUCUCUCUCUCAGUUGUCACUGGGGACACACAUUAAGGUCUAAUGGAUAAGAUGGAAUUUGAAGAAAAAAAUCGCUGCCACAGAUUUUUUGCACAAUGUUUUGGGGUGACAUUGACCUCCAGCUUCUCGCAUAGGCCUUCUGGAAACUCGACUCCAGGCCGUUUUGAUCAGGAAUGGAGAGGAAGGCUACGAUUAUCAGAUCCAGGGGUUUCUUAACUGUGCUCUAUCUGUCUGUCAUCACUGCCAGAAAUAUACUUUUCAAUCAAGCUAAGUAAAAGAAGUCAAUACUCAGUCUCUUGAGGACUUCUCUAACAAACUCUCUAUACGAAAUAUCAGCGGUGCUUUGGCCAAGACAGCUGAACUCGGGCUUGACAGGUCUGCAGAUGCAGCUGGUCGUACAGACAAAGGACUGCUUGGACAAGAGGAAGCAAGGAGAAGGUCGAACAGAGGGAGCCAUCUAGGAGCCUUUUGCUCAACCCUCAAGUCAGCUCUUCAGAAAGAAGAAUACUGCCCUGGUUAGGCUUCAGGCUUCUCUAUUACGGCAAACGGCAUAUGAGGUUCUUGCAACCAAAACCAAACCUGCAGCUUACUGAGCUUCAGUAAUGUAAGUCAUUCUGGUGGAUGCACCAGGCUUAGGGUUCACUAAGAAAACCAAUAAGGGUUUAUAGAUACUUUCUAUCUCACUUAAGGAUUUUGAAGCAUUUCUAUAAGCCAUUAUGUGGUCCUCAACAAAUUGUGUGACAGAUUUUAGUCCUUAAACCGAUAAAUUAUUAAAAACCUUUCAAAUGAACAGAAAGGUUCCUUUCUUAGGAAAAAACCCAAACCAACCCUUCACCAACUAGUGAAUACACAGGGCAUCUAUAAAAGGCACAAAGAUAUCCUUCCUUAAUGACAUUGUGAGCUGAGGGCUUCCAAAAGUUGCAUGUUGUUGUAGAGUAUUGACCUGGGUCAUGAAGUUCAGCUAUUGCAAGGGAAACUCAUAACCUGUGAGCCUUGCUCAGGAGGCAGAAAUACUUACAGACAGGAAAAGCUUGUGUCACCACGAGCUCAGCCCCCGCAGGCUGUCUGCCCCCAGGCAUCUCCAUCAGGUCUUUGUGUCCCAGGUUUCUGCUUGCAAUCAGGAGCGUCCCUGCUCUGGGAUGUCCUGAGCUGCAGACGGUUCAGGCCAGGCUGCGCAGAGCUGCAAUGGUUAAGGCUGCAACUGAAAGCUCAAGCAAACCCUCCCAGCCAGGAGAGAGGGAGACCAGCUGUGCUUGCUGUGGUGUCUGAAAAGUGAUAGCAAAGUGCCAGGAGAAAAUUGCUCAGCCACAUCUGCGUUCACCAGAGCGACAGCGUGGGAAAAUUGGACAACCGAGCCUUGAUUAAGCAGAAGAUACCCAGAGUCUGAUUUUUUGCAGCCCUGGCAAGAGCAUUACAUGCCAAGGACACGCGGAUGGGAAAAACUGAAACUCAGUAAAGUCAUUUGGUGAGUGCAUGAUUUGAAUGCAGUACUAACAGUGGGAGCCCAAAGGCACAUGCAGCGUGAGCCUGAUGUCCUCAGCCAAUAGGAAGGGGUGGUAGGUGCCUAAUUAAAAGCUACUAACCAAAGGAGGAACACAAGCUGUGAUUUGGGAGAGGCUUUCACCAACAAAAGUACGGCUGGCAUCUCCUCAGGUUAAUAACUGCUUACUGUCUGCAGAGAGACUGAUCGACCUGCAGGCAGCUCUGGAAAGAGCAGAUCGAUAAAAAACUGCUGCUCACCUCCAGAAACCAUUUAUGACACAAACUGUGGGUCGUGCAGCUGAAAAGCACGGGGGGAGCGAGAGCUUCCCACGCUGCUCCAGAAACAGUGCGGCAAUGAGGUCAUUUUCCAAUCCCUCACGAGCACCACGCACCCCAUCCUGGAGGUAUGCGCACCAUCAUGAGCUGGGCUGGAGGAAGGGUGAACCAGCCUGCGAGCAAGUGGCUGGAUGAACGCCGCCGAGGUGCCGCCUUUCUCACGCAAGCACCGCUGAGAAGCAAGCGAUAAGCUCCCACGGCCAAGCCGCCGUCUCAUGGGUCUGUGGAGAGCGGCGGGAUGGUUACGGCGUUUUCUGCCGCUUCUGCAAGGUUCCCUUAUCAGCUUCAACAUCUGGUUUGCACUCUUCGGCAUUUCCUAUGCUGCACUGCAAAACACCUUUCAUCUAGCAAGGCCAUGUCGAGCAAAUGAAGUGAAACAUUUCUUUCCCUAAAUCAGAACCAGCAAUCGUGGCAGGUUCUUGUAGGGUGUUGAUGGCUAAGCGCUUCGCUGCAGCACCUCAACGUUGCGUGAGGAGGAGGUUAUUUCUAGCUUCGAGACAGCCUCACAUCACAGCACCCGCUGACCCCCAGCCCGGCGAAGGCGACCCCCCGCCACAUCGCAGUCUCUGGGAGCUGGAGCGGGUCCGGGGCACAGGCUUCCCCCACAUCUGUGCUAACGAAGACGUGCGAAAACAUUACUUUCCCUUCGCAAACUGUACAUUCAGUCAAAAUUAAAACCAAACAAAUGGCUCCCAGCAAACCGAGCGUUCCACCAGCGCGGUCGGGGAAAUGAGUUCUGGCAGAGCCUGUCACCCCAUGGGUGCGGCAGAUGUACCCCAGAGUGUGGUGGGGAUGGUCAGGGUAUGGACCAUCACCUCAAAAUCACUGCACGGGAGUUGGGUUUACUAAAGAGGACGGGGGCUUUUUGGUCACUCAUGGAGGCAACAUGCUCCUUCCAAGAAAUAUAUAUGUACACACUCGGUUGCGAGCCAAGCCUGGCUGCUAGUAGCUUAGCUGACAAUGAUUAAAUAACCGGUUUAUGCUAGAUGAGAAGCUCGUCCACACCAGCUAGAGCAGCUCCUCUGGCACUGGUUCAUACACUGGGGAGGCCCCUCAUUCCAGGCCAGCAUGGUCCCUCCUCACGCAGGUUUCUGGCAGCCUCCAAACAACAAAACCUCCAGAGAGGUGCAUGGGGUUGCAUGAAACACCAAACCACCACCACCUCCGAACAGGACUGCUUAAACCUCAAACAGCUCAGAGAGCAGCUCCCACACACAACCAGGGGGAGCGGUCAGGGACGGCCGCCAUUCAGAUCAACCCCACAGUUAGAAAAGGGUUGAGAGUUUGUGCUGCUGCUGCAGUUGUUGAAGAAAGCAGCAAGAAAUGAAAUACAGCAGAGGUCACAGAAAAAGCGAGCCGCGUGGUGUGCAGCCCACAGCAACAAAGGAGGCAUUUUUGUCAGGGAGGCCUGGACAGGCAGCUCUUGCAGGAAAACCCUCUCCAGAGAUGGAGGGAGGCGCAGUAACGCUCAGCUUUCAGCAGUGGGGGAGCGCCUGUGUCCGUGCAUUAGGAUGAGCUACAGAGGCGGGUGCAAGCUCCCAGGACCUCAGUUGCAACACUGCCUUGCAGGGCUGGGACAAUAAAUCCUCCCCCUGCUCCACUCUUGUCACUCACAGACGAUGGGGCAGAGCACAGCUCUCCACUGCCUCCCGGUCCUCUGCAUCCCCCAGCUCACGGAGAGGGGGAGCAUCGCUGGGUCUCGCCCAGCAGAGCCUCCUCCAGUGCAGGACUGGGCAACUGUCCCAACCAACGCCAGGGAUCUCCUUCUCCAGCUGGGACACCUACCUCUGCCCUUCUCCCGCCUGUCAGAAGGGCAGGGCAAGCGCUGCAUUGCUGCUGGGACAGGGGACGGCUGCAGCAGCACCACAGUCCUGGGGAGACAGCGACCCUCAGCCCACCUGAGAGUGCUGCGGAAGAAGAGAUCAGGCCUGCCCUGAGCCAUUUCCCCCACAGAAGCAGAUGGGCAGACUGAACAACGGGAUGGAACAGAGGAAUCAAACGUACAACUGAAACAACAGGGAGGUGCUGCCGUGCACCUUUUCCAUGAUUCGCUUAAAGCAAAGCAAGUAUAUGGAGAGGGCAAAAGAAGUUGGAGGUGAUUCAAUGACUACGAAAAAUAAACAACGGAUAUUCCCUGAGGCUGGAAGGAAGGAAGGAAGGAAGGAAAUGCUGGAAAGCAACACCCAACCUACCACCAUAAAGACCAGCCAAGAGCUCACCUGGCAAGAUGGCAGCGCUGGCUCUGCGGGAACCUGCAGUGCUGCCGAGGCCAUGGCUUUCCAAGCAGCAAGGGGCUUCUCCCAAGGCAGAGAGGAGUUGGGUGCUGGAGCUGAAGGCACUGCUAGCCCCAACGCAGGUGUUGAGCACCUCCCCUACUUCCUCCCCUUCCGCCCUCUUCAGCAGAUUAAGAUAGUUAACAGCUGUCUUUAAUGAGCUCAUUUGCCCACUGGCAAUCAGGCCUCUCAGCCACAUUUUCAGGCUCAUUUCUGCAAGCGCAAUGACAAGCUGGUUGUUGCUCCUUGGAGCAGCUGGAAGAGUCCUGCAUGGACAGACCCACCAAUUGCCACUGUGCUGAUGACACAGUCACAACAGCAAGCAGCAACUGUGCUUCUCCUGGUGAGCCUGCCUUCAGGGACUUGGACCAUCCCACACACGCUUUGAAACCCACACAGGUUAUUUGCAGCUUGGUCUGGCCAGUCCAAAUCCCUCCCUGCAGAAUCUCCACACCAUACCAGCCCCCCUUACCAAGAAACAGGGUCCCCAUGGAGCACUGCCCUCUCCUACAGGAAAGCUGUGCUGGAUGCUCCUCUUCCCUUGGCCCUCCAGCUUAAUGCUGUGAGGGGCUUGCUGCAGCUUGGUGAGGCUAGGGCAGCUGAACACCCCCUGCAGGAGAUGCUGGCUUUGUCCAAACACUGUCUCUUGUAGUACCUACAAACCUUCAUGAAAUGUGCCAGGGAUAUUCCCUGGCUCCGGGAUGGAAAUUCUGGACAAAGCAGGCAGGCUUGGCCAAGAUGUCCUGUAUGUCCUGUCCAAGGACAGCAGUAACUUGGUACCCCCAGUUCCCAAUGCACAUCUAAGAAGCUGCAAAGCCACUGGGAGCAGGGCGGGCCGUCACUUCUCCCACAUCUUGUCUUAGGAAAACACUUCAUGUCCUGUUUAUGUAGCAUGCGCACCAGGACAGAAGUCAACACUGAAUGGCUGGAACUGCCCAUGAUUCCCUCUCCCACUCCAUCACCAGCCCUACCAGUGAACUGUGCAGGCUAUUCCUCUUUUACACUAGUAUUUUUGGUUUUCCCCUUGCAAUCUUAAGCAUUUCUUGGGUUAACCGAGUACUACUUUUGCUGAAGAUUCCCAAAAAACCAGUACCGGUUUCAGAGAGAUCAGUGAAGCUCCCAAUCCUACUAUAAGGAAUUCCUGGCACAAGGCAAGAAAUUAGGAGUUAAUUUUGCCUAUGACAAUGAGAUGUCUUUAGAGCAAACUCUCCAUUUUCACUCUAGUAGUUACAAUCAUUUUGGUACAAAGAACUUUGCAGUGGAAUUAUUUAUUUCAUCUUCCCCUUUACUGUAGGAGGAAUGAUAUUAAACUGAGCCCAAAUCCACUUGCAUUCGGUGGAUUGCUAAUUAAGCUACAGAUGUCUCCUGAUGGCAGCAAUUAUUCCUGGUAACCUUAAUGACCUUGUUACAUUCCUUAGUUAUUGUUAUGAAAAGCUAUAUGAAAUACUUUGCCUAAUACUACACA
Long non-coding RNA from Grus americana (Whooping crane), 7063 nucleotides. RefSeq lists it as uncharacterized. The record is from RefSeq and is a predicted model, not a curated record. NCBI's taxonomy places the organism in Eukaryota, Metazoa, Chordata, Aves, Gruiformes, Gruidae. The transcript has 6 exons.